This 72-nucleotide transfer RNA is filed under the name Loxodonta africana (African savanna elephant). It matches the Rfam family "tRNA". Rfam says of the family: Transfer RNA (tRNA) molecules are approximately 80 nucleotides in length. Lineage: Eukaryota; Metazoa; Chordata; Mammalia; Proboscidea; Elephantidae. The record is from Rfam by way of RNAcentral.
GCCCUAGUAGUGCAACAGUUAAACUUUUGGCUGCUAACUGAAAGGUUGGCGGUUUGAACCCGCCCAGAGGCU